Molecule: long non-coding RNA, 2198 nt
Organism: Prunus dulcis (almond)
Lineage: Eukaryota; Viridiplantae; Streptophyta; Magnoliopsida; Rosales; Rosaceae
Exons: 2
Source: RefSeq, a predicted model, not a curated record
UUCCUUUAACCCACCAUUGCUAUUUUGUGUAUCAGAGUAUGAGAUUUCAUUAAACUCAUAUUUAUUGGAAAAAUAAAUAAUCAUAAAAACUAUUAAUCUGAUUUCUUUAUGAUUAAUUCCCUGUCAUUUAUUUUUUUUUUCAAAUAUUCAUACAAAUUAUAUCCCCUACUUGGUUAAUUGUGGACAUAUUUAUACAAACUUGUUAAUCAAAUAUGUCAUUUUUUAAUCCAAUUACUAAUUGGUUAGUCCAAUUUUGCAAAUAGUGUACGCAUAUUGCAUGUUAUUGACAGCCUUUUAAAUUUUGAGAAUGUAAAUAUAAUAUGUGAUUUGUCAAUGCAAUUGACAAACAGGUAGCGCCAUUUGUAUUCCAUCGUGCAAUUGACAAACGAAGCAGUGCCAUUUGCAUUCCAAUCAUUUAGUUUGAUACUUUUAAUCUGUUUUCUGUGAUCCUCUCCCAUUGUUUACGCGUUUCUAUUUUUUGAUAAUUUGGGUACGCUGAUAUGAAUGUGAUGGAUUGACAAUUAGGUAUGCUGAUAUGCAUAUGUGAUUUUUAUCUCCUUUGCUCUUCUCGUGAGCAAUUUCUCUGUUCUAGUGUUGUUGUAUUUUUUUUUGAAUGGUGCAGUUUAUUGUUUGCUUGAACUCCCAGUUCUAUAUAUGAUCAUGAUUUUUGAGCUUGGACAAUUUACUUUUCUUGUAUGUUAGUUAUAUGAUACGUUAAUAUGCAUGUUUCUUUUUUGUGAUAUUUUCUUUAAGGUUUUGCAUAAUCAGAAUGGUUAGAUGCACUAAAUUCCAUAGUUUGUGAUCUUUAGGUGUUUAAUUUAGGUGAUACAUAGAAAAGAAAAAUAAUCAAAUGACAAAGGUUGUUUGGUAAUUGACAAUAAAGGUCGUUUGGCAAUUGACAAUCAGUCGGUCGGUUUUUGCAAAGUUGAAUGGCAAUUACAUAGAGUCUGUUUGUCGAUUGCAUUGUUGUGAGAUGUGAAUGUGUUGUAGCAAAAUAAGGAAAUUUGUCUGAGAUUGCAAGUCGGCAUGAUGGAUGUUGAGAUAUUGGAGUGCAAACUGGAGUGAGGGCUUUUCCAAGUGGCUUUAGGAGUUUAAUUAGUUUAAGUUAUUUAUUUUAUUUUACUUUCCUUUUUUAAUAAGGACUUGUUGUCCAAGUUAGGUUAGGAUUUUUAAUUAGUUUUUUUUCAUAUUCCUUCUGGCUGUGGGUAGCAUAUAACAAGGGCUACUCGUUAUUUUGAUUAAGGUAUGCAUCGGAAAUCACAAACAUGGUCUUCUUUGUGUCGGUUGUGACAAUUGGAAUACUAGUAUACUUCCAUUUUAUUGUUUAAAAAAAGAAAAAGAAAAAAAAGAAAUGGAGAUAAGCACGUAAACACAUAUUUGCAAUACCAUAGAGUUGCAAGGGUAAAAUAAAUAUAAGUUAUAAAAUUUGAAUUGUAACAUACAUUUGGACAAGUUUAAUUAUUUCCCCUAAAAAUAUUUGAAUUAAUUAAGGGUAAAAUAAAUACAAGUUAAAACAGAUAGAAAAUAUUAGGUCAUACGGAUGGAAAAUUCUACGAUGGGCAUGGCGCAUGGAUGCGCCCACUGUUAUAGACCAUUGGAUAAAUAGUUGGUGAUGUGGAGUUAUCCACACCGUUGUGUUAGUUACCGGAUCAAUCGGAUGUUGUAGGUAAAAAAAAAAAAAAAAAAAAAAAAGCAAAAACUCUCCUUCAGUCUGACAUUCAAGUCGAGUUAGGGUAGGGUUUCUCUUCUCUCUCUCUUUCCUCUCCUCCUCGUAUGACGACGAGACAGCGCGACGAACAAGACUCCUCUCCUCUCAGGUUGGGGUAAAGAAUUAGGCCAAGUACAUGACUAAUAUACUAUUUUGGAGUCUAUUUAUUUGGCAACUUGAAUUUGUAAUAUUUUCAUUGUAUCUUGAGAUUGUAUUUUUUUUAUAAAAAAAAAAAUACAUAAUUACUUAAGAUUUUAGAUUUAUAAUUGUUGGUUAUGUAGAGUGAAUGUAUUUUUACAAUACUUUCAAUUACAUGAGUGAAGUUUAUGUUGGCUUUGAUGAGGAUAUAAUACCAUUAAGAAUAAGCUUUUAAAGUAAAUUUGACUGUUAUAUCAUAGUUUAUGUGCCAAUUGAAACAAUCAUCCCAUUAGCAUUGUGAAUGGGCAUUGUACCAUAAAGUUGUAUUUUGAGAUUAGUGUAUGGGCAUUGU